UACAGAGGGUGCAAGCGUUAAUCGGAAUUAUUGGGCGUAAAGGGCGCGUAGGCGGACUCUUAAGUUGGAUGUGAAAUACCCGGGCUCAACCUGGGAUGGUCAUCCAAGACUGGGAGACUAGAGUGCAGUAGAGGGAAGUGGAAUUUCCAGUGUAGCGGUGAAAUGCGUAGAUAUUGGAAGGAACAUCAGUGGCGAAGGCG
This 200-nucleotide ribosomal RNA is filed under the name uncultured bacterium. RNAcentral describes it as "partial 16S ribosomal RNA". It matches the Rfam family "Bacterial small subunit ribosomal RNA", at positions 524 to 723 of the family's 1533-position model. The record is from RNAcentral.